GUCUUCUUGUUAUAUUUAGGAAGUCUGGCCUGCCCAGUGAAAAUAAUUUAACGGCCGCGGUAUAUUGACCGUGCAAAGGUAGCAUAAUCAUUAGUCUUUUAAUAGAGGGCUGGUAUGAAGGGUUUAACGAGGUGUUGACUGUCUCAUUUAAUUUGUAUUUAGAAUUUAAUUUUUUAGUUAAAAAGCUAAAAUAUUAUUGGAAGACGAGAAGACCCUAUAGAGCUUUAUAUUUUUAUUAAUAAUUUAUUGUAGGUUAUUAUUAUUUAUUAUUAAUAGAAAAUAUUUUGUUGGGGUGACAAAAAUAUAUAAAAAACUUUUUUAUUUUAUUUACAUUGAUAUAUGAUUAUUAGAUCCAAUCUUAUUGAUUGUUAGAUUAAGUUACCUUAGGGAUAACAGCGUAAUCCUCCUCCAGAGUUCAUAUUUACAGGGGGGCUUGCGACCUCGAUGUUGGAUUAAGAUAAUAAUUAGGUGCAGCCGCUUAAUUUAAUAGGUCUGUUCGACCUUUAAAUUCUU
This 513-nucleotide ribosomal RNA is filed under the name Boyeria maclachlani. Its description in RNAcentral is "partial 16S rRNA". It matches the Rfam family "Bacterial large subunit ribosomal RNA", at positions 1830 to 2597 of the family's 2925-position model. The record is from RNAcentral. Lineage: Eukaryota; Metazoa; Arthropoda; Insecta; Odonata; Aeshnidae.